Long non-coding RNA from Canis lupus familiaris (dog), 896 nucleotides. RefSeq lists it as uncharacterized. The record is from RefSeq and is a predicted model, not a curated record. Lineage: Eukaryota; Metazoa; Chordata; Mammalia; Carnivora; Canidae. The transcript has 4 exons.
UAGACUUGACUGGCCGACUAAAGGACACGGUCACCAACACGCAGCAGAGCUCAGGCAAAGCACAAACCUUCCACGCAGCGACAGCCCUCCUGUAGCACCCGUGCAUACAUGUCCACUUUGGACUGGGAAAGGAGCUGGUCCCCGGUCAGUCACUUAACGGAGCUCACUUCUGCACCUUGGAAGGAGGACUACUAGAUACAACCCCAGCUGGGUGCCACAGGGGAACUUCGGGCCCAAGGAUUUUCCUCAAGGGCUGACCAACAGGGAAAGAGCAUCUCAUCUAAUACCAACAGGCAGUUGGAGAACUUCUGGACAGCUCCCUAAAUCAUAGGAGUGAGUAAUACAGCAGCACGUGUAAGCAUCAUGGAUUCUAAAUCUUAAACUCCUCUGAAAUGAAACAGAGCCUCUUGAAGACCAAAACAAAAUGCCUCUUUUCAUCAAAGGAAAACAAAACAAUACAGAACAGUCCAACUCAACUGUGAAAACGUACCUGAAACAUUUGUCUGACUUUUCUUCGGGGCAGAUUGACAUUUAACUUGUGCAUCAGUUGGUGUAUCUCUUCAAUAUUCAAUAAGCCAUCACCGUUCUUAUCAGCCUCCUCAAAGGUCUGCUUCACCCACAUGAAGAAAGGUCAAGAAAAACACUUUUUUCAUCGAAAUAAAAACAGCUCUCUCACAGAAUACUCACAAAGAGGUUUACCACGAACAUGGGACUUGAGAAGAAAUUCUUUUGAGGAGGCCCUGCCUGCAACCACAGGCUCGUGAGCUGCCAGUAGUGACAACCACCGCCAGGGGAACGAGCACUUGUACGUCAUUCCCUUCACUUUGAAAUGAGUCAAACCGUGUUCUCCUGAGAGCUUCUUUAACCCACACGUUCUUAUCCAGUCCAUUAAGGAA